This 92-nucleotide transfer RNA is filed under the name Clostridia bacterium. RNAcentral describes it as "tRNA-Ser". It matches the Rfam family "tRNA". Rfam says of the family: Transfer RNA (tRNA) molecules are approximately 80 nucleotides in length. Their secondary structure includes four short double-helical elements and three loops (D, anti-codon, and T loops). Lineage: Bacteria; Bacillati; Bacillota; Clostridia. The record is from RNAcentral.
GGAGAGAUGGCUGAGCUGGUCUAAGGCGCACGACUGGAAAUCGUGUAAGGGCUAAUAACUCUUCGGGGGUUCGAAUCCCCCUCUCUCCGCCA